AUUGAACGCUGGCGGCAUGCUUUACACAUGCAAGUCGAACGGCAGCGGGGUAGUGCUUGCACUACUGUCCGGCGAGUGGCGAACGGGUGAGUAAUAUAUCGGAACGUACCGAGUAAUGGGGGAUAACCAAUCGAAAGAUUGGCUAAUACCGCAUACGUCCUAAGGGAGAAAGCGGGGGAUCGCAAGACCUCGCGUUAUUCGAGCGGCUGAUAACUGAUUAGCUAGUUGGUGGGGUAAAGGCCUACCAAGGCGACGAUCAGUAGCGGGUCUGAGAGGACGAUCCGCCACACUGGGACUGAGACACGGCCCAGACUCCUACGGGAGGCAGCAGUGGGGAAUUUUGGACAAUGGGGGCAACCCUGAUCCAGCCAUGCCGCGUGUAUGAAGAAGGCCUUCGGGUUGUAAAGUACUUUUGUUAGGGAAGAAAAGGGAAGUGCUAAUACCACUUUUUGCNGACG
RNAcentral lists this ribosomal RNA (458 nucleotides) under uncultured bacterium. RNAcentral's name for it is "bacterial SSU rRNA". It matches the Rfam family "Bacterial small subunit ribosomal RNA", at positions 30 to 474 of the family's 1533-position model. The record is from RNAcentral.